GAUCAGUGGAACGUAGAAAAACAAGUAGUAGCGCGCUCAAUUUAUCCUAAAUCAGUGAAUGUAAGACAUUGCUCAUUUUCACCUAAAUAAGCAAAAUUGUUGCUACUGGGCACAAUAUAAUCCUUCUGUUCUUCAUCAACGUCCACUACACAGUCAAAGGUCACUACAGUGUAACUUUGUUAUUGCGGCCUCGGCCAUAGCAUCAACUUGGAUGAAAUGGCAUUUAUUUAUAGGUCGCGCCAAACUUCAAGUAACUUACAUUGUGAAAACCUGGGAUUUAUCGUCAGUUAAUUAUUAAAUAAUAAAUUCAUUUAUUCUUCCAAUUUAUACAUUACACAUAAUCAGAAAUUAUGAAUAGUAGAGUAGAUAUAUCACAACAACAAUAUUGCAAAUUAUAAAAAUAAAGAUAAUAAAAUAAUACAAUUACACGUUGUACAAAGAAAUAAAAAUAACUCAUUCACAUCAAUAGAACAAUAAAUAAUAAUUUCAAGUACCCCGAGGACUGAAAGUCCUGUUUGGGGCACCAUCAUAUUUUUAAUUAAGAAAAAAAUAAGCAAUGAAUUAUUUUGCCGAGUCGGAACUUGUAUAAUAUGACAAGAUUCUGCAGUUGCAGACAACAUGCCUCGACGCUACAAAAGAUCUUUGGGCAGCAGAAACUUAAAUACUUUUCCAUAAAUACUGUAGUUUGUGAUUUUUCAAAGUGAAUUUCAUUUGUUUUUAUAGUUAUUAUUCAUUUUGUUGGUUAUUAUUCAUUAGGUUAACAGUUGGUUUCAUUUUGUCUUAGUCUUGAGAAUGAACUUGUACCCAUAUAUUUUUCAAAGUAACACAAAGUCACCUCAACCCGUGGUUGACAUUGUCUCUUAUUUUCAAUAAAAAUAUAUCUUUAUUUCAUUA
Long non-coding RNA from Nilaparvata lugens (brown planthopper), 894 nucleotides. RefSeq lists it as uncharacterized. The record is from RefSeq and is a predicted model, not a curated record. Lineage: Eukaryota; Metazoa; Arthropoda; Insecta; Hemiptera; Delphacidae. The transcript has 2 exons.